AGGAUGAACGCUGGCGGUGUGCCUAAUACAUGCAAGUCGAACGAGACCUUCGGGUCGAGUGGCGGACGGGUGAGUAACACGUUGGUACCUACCCCGAAGUGGGGAAUAACUGCCCGAAAGGGUGGCUAAUACCGCAUAAUACCGCAAGGUUAAAGCGAGUAAUCGCGCUUCGGGAGGGGCCUGCGUCCCAUUAGCUAGUUGGUAGGGUAAUGGCCUACCAAGGCGACGAUGGGUAGCUGGAUCGAGAGGUUGACCAGCCACACUGGGACUGAGAUACGGCCCAGACUCCUACGGGAGGCAGCAGUAAGGAAUCUUCCACAAUGGACGAAAGUCUGAUGGAGCAACACCGCGUGCAGGAUGACGGUCUUCGGAUUGUAAACUGCUUUUAUAUGGGAAGAUUAUGACGGUACCAUAUGAAUAAGGACCGGCUAACUACGCGCCAGCAGCCGC
RNAcentral lists this ribosomal RNA (450 nucleotides) under uncultured bacterium. Its description in RNAcentral is "SSU rRNA". It matches the Rfam family "Bacterial small subunit ribosomal RNA", at positions 26 to 518 of the family's 1533-position model. The record is from RNAcentral.